This 1518-nucleotide small RNA is filed under the name uncultured marine bacterium. RNAcentral describes it as "bacterial SSU rRNA". The stretch from base 1 to 993 matches the Rfam family "Bacterial small subunit ribosomal RNA", at positions 529 to 1533 of the family's 1533-position model. The record is from RNAcentral.
AAGGGACUAGCGUAGUUCGGAAUUACUGGGCUUAAAGAGUUCGUAGGUGGUUGAAAAAGUUGGUGGUGAAAUCCCAGAGCUUAACUCUGGAACUGCCAUCAAAACUUUUCAGCUAGAGUAUGAUAGAGGAAAGCAGAAUUUCUAGUGUAGAGGUGAAAUUCGUAGAUAUUAGAAAGAAUACCAAUUGCGAAGGCAGCUUUCUGAAUCAUUACUGACACUGAGGAACGAAAGCAUGGGUAGCGAAGAGGAUUAGAUACCCUCGUAGUCCAUGCCGUAAACGAUGUGUGUUAGACGUUGGAAAUUUAUUUUCAGUGUCGCAGGGAAACCGAUAAACACACCGCCUGGGGAGUACGACCGCAAGGUUAAAACUCAAAUGAAUUGACGGGGACCCGCACAAGUAGUGGAGCAUGUGGUUUAAUUCGAAGAUACGCGCAGAACCUUACCAACACUUGACAUGUUCGUCGCGACUCUAAGAGAUUAGAGUUUUCGGUUCGGCCGGACGAAACACAGGUGCUGCAUGGCUGUCGUCAGCUCGUGUCGUGAGAUGUUGGGUUAAGUCCCGCAACGAGCGCAACCCUCACUUUUAGAUGCCAUCAUUAAGUUGGGCACUCUAGAAGAACUGCCAGUGAUAAGCUGGAGGAAGGUGGGGAUGACGUCAAGUCCUUAUGGCCCUUACGUGUUGGGCUACACACGUGCUACAAUGGCAUCUACAACAGGAAGCAAAACGGCAACGUUAAGCAAAUCCCGAAAAGAUGCCUCAGUUCGGAUUGCACUCUGCAACUCGAGUGCAUGAAGCUGGAAUUACUAGUAAUCGUGGAUCAGCGUGCCACGGUGAAUGCGUUCCCGGGUCUUGUACACACCGCCCGUCACACCAUGGGAGUUGGUUCUACCUUAAGGCAAGGUUUUAAACCCUUGACCACGGUAUAGUCAGCGACUGGGGUGAAGUCGUAACAAGGUAGCCGUAGGGGAACCUGCGGCUGGAUUACCUCCUUUCUAAGGAUGAGUGAAAGUAAAAUUUCACUCUAAAUAAUAUACAUCGGUAAUGUUGACCGUCCUCAUUUCUCUUCUUAAAGUAAUGUUUCCUUCUUGUAGGGCCGGUAGCUCAGUUGGUUAGAGCACACCCUUGAUAAGGGUGGGGUCGAAAGUUCGAGUCUUUCUCGGCCCACCAAAAACCUAAAUGGGGGGAUUAGCUCAUCUGGGAGAGCGCCUGAUUUGCAUUCAGGAGGUAGCAGGUUCGAUCCCUGUAUCCUCCACCAGGAAACAUUUAGUUAUUAAAACUGUAAAUAAAAAUAAUUUAUAUCAAUAUCUAUAUCCGAACAUUAAAAGUUAUUAUUUAAUGUUCAAAAUAAAAAUUUGAUCACAACAUAGAUAAAUUUUCUGUUAAAAGAAUUUUUUUCUGUGCAUAAAUCAAGCGUUUAAGGGCGUGUAGUGGAUGCCUUGGCACUGAAAGCCGAUGAAGGACGUGAUAUACUGCGAUAAGUUUCGGGGAGCUGUAUGUAAGCUUUGAUCCGAAAAUUU